CCGCAACUUGUAACAAGCUUGAUGACAUUAUCAGACUUGUUACAAGGUUGUCCUAACAGGUCUGAUACAGUCAUGAUAUAACAAGAUUGUUACAAAGUUGUCGACGCAAGGUUGUUAAAAUAUUGUUAUAUCAUGACUGUAUCGGAGUUGUUGGAACAACCUUGCAACAAGUCUGAUAAUAUCAACAAGGUUGUUACAAGUUAACACGCAGAUUCUUCCAAACUUGUUGACAACUUGGGACAAGCAGUGCGAACACAACUUGUUGACGGCUUGUUGGCAGACUUGCUACAAGAUGUGAGAUUUUUACGUGUGUAGUCAAAAAUUAAAACCGGCUAUACGAACGAAUAAACAAUCAUAAGCAAUUUUGUAUUAUAGA
This is a non-coding RNA of Paramuricea clavata, 376 nucleotides long. NCBI's taxonomy places the organism in Eukaryota, Metazoa, Cnidaria, Anthozoa, Malacalcyonacea, Plexauridae. The record is from the annotation of a GenBank genome assembly.